RNAcentral lists this ribosomal RNA (460 nucleotides) under uncultured bacterium. RNAcentral describes it as "partial 16S ribosomal RNA". It matches the Rfam family "Bacterial small subunit ribosomal RNA", at positions 338 to 795 of the family's 1533-position model. The record is from RNAcentral.
CCUACGGGUGGCAGCAGUGAGGAAUAUUGGUCAAUGGGCGAGAGCCUGAACCAGCCAAGUCGCGUGAAGGAUGACGGCCCUACGGGUUGUAAACUUCUUUUGUCAGGGAGCAAUUGAGUCCACGUGUGGUCUUAGCGAGAGUACCUGAAGAAAAAGCAUCGGCUAACUCCGUGCCAGCAGCCGCGGUAAUACGGAGGAUGCGAGCGUUAUCCGGAUUUAUUGGGUUUAAAGGGUGCGUAGGCGGAAUAUCAAGUCAGCGGUAAAAAUUCGGGGCUCAACCCCGUCGUGCCGUUGAAACUGAUGUUGUGGAGUGGGCGAGAAGUAUGCGGAAUGCGUGGUGUAGCGGUGACAUGCAUAGAUAUCACGCAGAACUACGAUUGCGAAGGCAGCAUAGCGGCGCCCAACGGACGCGGAAGCACGAAAGCGUGGGUAUCGAACAGGAUUAGAUACCCUUGUAGUC